UUGAUCUCAAAUCAGGUAGGACUACCCGCUGAACUUAAGCAUAUCAAUAAGCGGAGGAAAAGAAACUAACAAGGAUUCCCCUAGUAACUGCGAGUGAAGCGGGAAGAGCUCAAAUUUAAAAUCUGGCGUGCCUCUGGUCGUCCGAGUUGUAGUCUGGAGAAGCGUUUUCCGUGUUGGACCGUGUAUAAGUCUCUUGGAACAGGGCGUCGUAGAGGGUGAGAAUCCCGUCUUUGACACGGACUACCAAUGCUUUGUGAUGCGCUCUCAAAGAGUCGAGUUGUUUGGGAAUGCAGCUCAAAAUGGGUGGUAAAUUCCAUCUAAAGCUAAAUAUAGGCGAGAGACCGAUAGCGAACAAGUACCGUGAGGGAAAGAUGAAAAGCACUUUGGAAAGAGAGUUAAACAGUACGUGAAAUUGCUGAAAGGGAAACGCUUGAAGUCAGUCACGUCUGCCAGGACUCAGCCUUGCUUCUGCUUGGUGUACUUUCUGGUUUGAUGGGCCAACAUCGAUUUUGACCGUCGGAAAAAGGCUUUGGGAACGUGGCACCUUAGGGUGUGUUAUAGCCCAUUGUUGUAUACGACGGUUGGGAUCGAGGACUGCAGCACGCCUUUAUGGCCGGGGUUCGCCCACGUACGUGCUUAGGAUGUUGGCAUAAUGGCUUUAAGCGACCCGUCUUGAACCACGGACCA
RNAcentral lists this ribosomal RNA (687 nucleotides) under uncultured fungus. Its description in RNAcentral is "eukaryotic LSU rRNA". It matches the Rfam family "Eukaryotic large subunit ribosomal RNA", at positions 1 to 668 of the family's 3401-position model. The record is from RNAcentral. Lineage: Eukaryota; Fungi.